RNAcentral lists this non-coding RNA (96 nucleotides) under Acidiferrobacter sp. SPIII_3. RNAcentral describes it as "Burkholderia RNA 7 (anti-hemB)". It matches the Rfam family "Burkholderia RNA 7 (anti-hemB)". Rfam says of the family: This RNA motif was identified by computational search in b-proteobacteria Burkholderia. The record is from Rfam by way of RNAcentral. Lineage: Bacteria; Pseudomonadati; Pseudomonadota; Gammaproteobacteria; Acidiferrobacterales; Acidiferrobacteraceae.
UAUCCGCUUCUCCUCCCUGAGCGGGUAACCUGGGCCGCUAGGCCCAGGGUCUCGUUUAUCCCCGGGCCCUCUCCCUUGUGCCCGGGGUUUUUUUAU